Austrofundulus limnaeus is the source of this 1873-nucleotide long non-coding RNA. RefSeq lists it as uncharacterized. The record is from RefSeq and is a predicted model, not a curated record. NCBI's taxonomy places the organism in Eukaryota, Metazoa, Chordata, Actinopteri, Cyprinodontiformes, Rivulidae. The transcript has 4 exons.
CAUUAAGGGAGGACCCGCACCCCUCUCCUUGAUGGAUGAAAUGGACCGGGCCGGCGCGGGGGGGGGACGUCACAAUGCGCCGUCGCCACAAAGCUCCGCUCAUUUGGCUCCCAGCAUGCCGCCCGUCCGGAGGGACCACCGCCUAAACCCCGCGGAGCCCACCCUGCUGCCCCCGCGGAGGAGAAACUGCAGAAAUGAAAAUGAAGAUAUCCUCCGACCUCCAGGUGCACCCAGGAGGGUUUCUGCAGAAGAGCGGUGUGUUUUGCAGGCCAGAGGGGUUGUCUGUUAUCUUUGGUUAUCUAGCUGUAUGAGUGACGUACAUUCUUCAUAAAGCUAGAUAACCGAAAGUAACAAGAAUCCCAUUACAUGCCUGCGCUGGAAGCUGAGAACAAAAACAAUAACAAAACAGAGCGAAGCGGCAAACCUGACUGAAGACACAGCUGCUAACAAAUAACACAAAGGUUUUCCGAUUUGAAUGAAGUUUCGGGUCAUGACAUUUGAAAGACGGCACCAGAGCGACGUCACCAACCUGGAGAAGGAAGGCCUCCUUCAGGCGGACGGUUCAGACAGUCAGKUGGGACAGCUGCUCUGACGUUUGUGCCUGUGAGCAUCGUCUCCUGAACGAUGACAGAAAAUACAAGAACUUUGUACCUUGGUCAUCCCAAGGUUAAAAACCAGAGCGAAGGAGAAAACACUUCGUGUUUUAAGUUGCUGCUCUGCACAGCCGUUCAGGAAACAUCUGCAUUAGAUUUUUAAUGUGGGUCAGAACCGAGAUGAUCUCUUUACUUCUCACGCACACAUUUAGCCCAGAUUUAUGUAUAUCAAUGUAAAUAAAUUCUAAAACACCGGGAAAAUCAAUAGAUAUUUUAGAAAUCACGAUUUCAAAAUGUUUCUUUUUAGCUAAAGAAAUUCAAUUUGUCAAAAUUAUGUGGUCCAGUUAUAAGAAACGUUCAAUUUUGUGUUAUUACAAUCACUUCUUUUCACAUUUUUCCUUUUUAUGUUUCAAGAUUAUGUUUUUGUUAAUGGAUUUUUGUUACCCAGAGUUGUUUGGAAACCUUACAAUAGUUGUUGCAAUGCUUGAAAUUUUUAAUUUAAAAAAAUGUACCAGUAUGAUAAGACUGGAGCAACCUCAGCAGUCUUUUACAAUCUUUAUUUUGCACACACUGUUUAMAUUUGUCUAUGCAACAGAAAAUAUGAAGUUGGUGUAAAAUUAGCAGGUUUGCACCGAAGCGUUGUGAAGUUUGCACGUUGGUCGAACAACUUACAGGUUGAGUGUUAUUAACGCACUAUAAAACAUUGUAUAUGAGCACAGUGCAAUGUUGUACAAAGAUGUUUUCAUCAUGUGAGCAGAAAUGAUUAUUACAAUCAUUAAUGGAUGAUUGCAUUCAUUUGAGUUAAUCAUAAUUUGCACUAAAAACUUAAAUUUAUGAUAGUUAAUAUUUUUACUGUUUCAUCUUCUUACAGCUAUUUUUGAUGCAACACAUGAGAAAAUGUGCAAUAGAUUAUCAGUAAAUAAAAGCUGUUAAGAGAGAAUAACGUUAUUUUGUGAAACAGUCAAAAGUCUUUGCACAUAAUCUAAUUUCUUCUAUGCAACUGUUUUAUUAAAAUUUUGUUCUUUGUGGGUUAAAUAUAGAAUAAAUGAAUAUGUAAACACUGUACAUUAUUUUUUAAAUUGGUUGAAUAAUUGUAAAACAAUAUGUACUUAAAAAUAGAGUAAUUAAUUGUCAUAUUUUGUUUGGAAAUUGUGAAACUGUCUGUGUACUUUUGACAUUUCUUUUCAUGCUUGUUUGAAAAUGAGACUUAAAUUGUGAAACUUGUCAAAAAGUAUUUUUAAUUGUAAAAAAAAAAAAAGAAUAAAUGGUAUAUAUGGUAA